UACGGGAGGCAGCAGUGGGGAAUAUUGCACAAUGGGCGCAAGCCUGAUGCAGCCAUGCCGCGUGUAUGAAGAAGGCCUUCGGGUUGUAAAGUACUUUCAGUCGUGAGGAAGGUGUUAAGGUUAAUAACCUUAGCAAUUGACGUUAGCGACAGAAGAAGCACCGGCUAACUCCGUGCCAGCAGCCGCGGUAAUACGGAGGGUGCGAGCGUUAAUCGGAAUUACUGGGCGUAAAGGGCACGCAGGCGGUUAAUUAAGUUGGAUGUGAAAUCCCCGGGCUUAACCUGGGAAUGGCAUUCAAGACUGGUUAGCUAGAGUCUUGUAGAGGGGGUAGAAUUCCAUGUGUAGCGGUGAAAUGCGUAGAGAUGUGGAGGAAUACCGGUGGCGAAGGCGGCCCCUGGACAAAGACUGACGCUCAUGUGCGAAAGCGUGGGGAGCAAAACAGGAUUAGAUACC
This 453-nucleotide ribosomal RNA is filed under the name uncultured bacterium. RNAcentral's name for it is "bacterial SSU rRNA". It matches the Rfam family "Bacterial small subunit ribosomal RNA", at positions 340 to 786 of the family's 1533-position model. The record is from RNAcentral.